AACGAACGCUGGCGGCAGGCCUAACACAUGCAAGUCGAGCGCGCCUUCGGGUGAGCGUCGGACGGUUGAGUAACGCGUGGGAAUAUGUCCUUCUUUACGGAAUCGCCCUGGGAUACUGGGGGUAAUACCGGAUACGUCCUUUGGGGGAAAGAUCUAUCGGGGUGGGAUUAGCACGCGUUCUAUUAGUUUGUUGUUGGGGGAAUGGCUUACCAAGCGUACGAUGGGUAGCCGGCUUGAGAGGGGGAACGGCCACACUGGGACUGAGAUAUGGCCCAGACCCCGACGCGAGGGAGCAGUGGGGAGGAGGGCACAAUGGCCGCGAGCCUGAUCCAGCGACGCCGCGUGCGGGAUGAUGGCGUACGGGUUGGGAACCUAAGUCUAUUGGGACGAAGAGAAAGUGACGGUACCUAGAGAAGAAGCCCCGGCCAACUACGUG
This 436-nucleotide ribosomal RNA is filed under the name uncultured bacterium. Its description in RNAcentral is "partial 16S ribosomal RNA". It matches the Rfam family "Bacterial small subunit ribosomal RNA", at positions 28 to 507 of the family's 1533-position model. The record is from RNAcentral.